CUUCAGCGAUCCCAGCCACACGGGCUCGGCGCGGUCCUGGCCGUAGGUGGCCAGCAGGGCCUGCGCCUC
RNAcentral lists this antisense RNA (69 nucleotides) under Allokutzneria albata. RNAcentral's name for it is "Kibdelosporangium albatum ASpks TB sRNA". It matches the Rfam family "ASpks TB sRNA". The record is from Rfam by way of RNAcentral. Lineage: Bacteria; Bacillati; Actinomycetota; Actinomycetes; Pseudonocardiales; Pseudonocardiaceae.